This is a long non-coding RNA of Astyanax mexicanus (Mexican tetra), 958 nucleotides long. RefSeq lists it as uncharacterized. NCBI's taxonomy places the organism in Eukaryota, Metazoa, Chordata, Actinopteri, Characiformes, Acestrorhamphidae. The transcript is spliced from 3 exons. The record is from RefSeq and is a predicted model, not a curated record.
UUUUAAAUGUCAGGGCUCUCUGGAUUCUAGUAAGGAGGUGUGGAGCUACUUUAUGCCCCGUGUCUCCCAGUUUGAAGUGUAUUUGGACAAAGUGUUACAAUUUCUGGAUCUUAGAACGCUGUGGGAGAACAGAGGUGUGCUAUUUAUCAAAAUUUGGACCCUGUUCAAACCAAGAACUCUGAUUGGUUGACUGAAGUCUCAGUGUACAGCUUGGACGUGAUGACAGGAAUGCCACAGUGGGUGCGAGUGUGCCACAGGAUUAAAGGGCUGUAUAUGAGGAAUCAACAAUGGAGCAUCCAAGUAAGAGGUUACCAAAGUAGGAAUUAUUAGCAUUUUAAUACGACUCUUAACAAACAAUGGCAAACAUGUCUCUCUGUUCUCUUGGUCCUCUUUGUUUGGUGUGUGUUUCAGUGUGUGUGUUUCAGUGUGUGUGUGUGUGUUUUGGCGAGGGGUGAUCCUGCACUGCACAGACCGCAGUGUUGUGCAACAUAUGAAAGCUGGCCAGAAUCACUGCUGUGUCUCUGCAGCCCACAGCGAGCAGCGUGAAGCCCACCCUCAGCCAGAGCUCCGGCCUCCGACCCACCAGACCGUUAAACUCCAUUUAUUACACUUAUUCUUUCUCUCUCAGUCAUAAAGCACUGUAACAACUGAAUAAAUCACAAAUCACAUCAGAAAAUGUGGAAUAAAUGGAUUUGUGUUUGUCUGGAGAAGAAGAGAAGAUGUUUGAUUAUGAUUCAUAUCUCACCUCAUUACAUCAUAAUGAAACAGUGAUUCUGAUAGAGCAUGAAAACAUAAUUCAUUAUUAAAGGACCAAUAUGUACCAAAUGAGAGCGAGCUUGUAAAAUGGAUAACCCAAUCCUAUUACAAAACAAUAGAAUAGAGAGUUGUCUGCCACACCCCCUCCUCUUCUCUAGAUGUGAAACUUACGUACAGUGGCUUGCAAAAGUAUUCAAACCCC